GUGGGGAAUAUUGGACAAUGGGCGCAAGCCUGAUCCAGCCAUGCCGCGUGAGUGAUGAAGGCCCUCGGGUUGUAAAGCUCUUUCACCGGUGACGAUAAUGACGGUAACCGGAGAAGAAGCCCCGGCUAACUUCGUGCCAGCAGCCGCGGUAAUACGAAGGGGGCUAGCGUUGUUCGGAAUUACUGGGCGUAAAGCGCACGUAGGCGGACAUUUAAGUCAGGGGUGAAAUCCUGGGGCUCAACCCGGGAACUGCCUUUGAUACUGGGUGUCUGGAGUAUGGAAGAGGUAAGCGGAAGUCCGAGUGUAGAGGUGAAAUUCGUAGAUAUUCGGAGGAACACCAGUGGCGAAGGCGGCUCACUGGCUCGAUACUGACGCUGAGGUGCGAAAGCGUGGGGAGCGAACAGGAUUAGAUACCCCAGUAGUCC
Molecule: ribosomal RNA, 425 nt
Filed under: uncultured bacterium
Lineage: Bacteria
Description: partial 16S ribosomal RNA
Rfam family: Bacterial small subunit ribosomal RNA
Source: RNAcentral